ACGGCCAUACCAUGCUGAAUAUACCGGUUCUCGUUAGAUCACCGAAGUCAAGCAUAAUUGGGCGCGGUCAGUACUUGGGUGGGUGACCACCUGGGAACACCGCGUGCCGUUG
Molecule: ribosomal RNA, 112 nt
Filed under: Caerostris extrusa
Lineage: Eukaryota; Metazoa; Arthropoda; Arachnida; Araneae; Araneidae
Source: RNAcentral